ACUUUAAUAGCUUAUUAAGAGCGUGAUAUUGAAGAUAUCAAGGAGGCCUUUGCCUUAUAGUA
This 62-nucleotide transfer RNA is filed under the name Anaplecta calosoma. RNAcentral describes it as "tRNA-Phe". Lineage: Eukaryota; Metazoa; Arthropoda; Insecta; Blattodea; Anaplectidae. The record is from RNAcentral.